GACGAACGCUGGCGGCGCGCCUAACACAUGCAAGUCGAACGAGCGGGAGAGAGCUUGCUUUCUUGCUCGAGUGGCGAACGGGUGAGUAACGCGUGAGUAACCUGCCUCAAACUUGGGGACAACUGUUGGAAACUACUGCUAAUACCGCAUAAGCGCACGUUCCCCCAUGUCACAGUGGGAAAGGUAGCACUCCGCUUUAAGAUCGCCUCGCGUCCGAUUAGCUAGUUGGUGUGGUAACGGCCCACCAAGGCGACGGUUGGUAGCCGUACUGAGGGGUUGAACGGUCGCGAUGGGACUGAGGCACGGCCCAGACUCCUACGGGGGGGAGCAGAAGGGAAUAUUGCGCGAUGGAGGAAACUCUGGUACAGCGGCGCGGCGUGGAAGAAGAAGGUCUUCGGAUUGUGAACUCCUGUUUUUGGAGAAGAUAAUGACGGUACCCGGCAAAGAAGUGACGGCUAACUACGUG
RNAcentral lists this ribosomal RNA (466 nucleotides) under uncultured bacterium. Its description in RNAcentral is "partial 16S ribosomal RNA". It matches the Rfam family "Bacterial small subunit ribosomal RNA", at positions 28 to 507 of the family's 1533-position model. The record is from RNAcentral.